GUGAAAGUAAACAACCAUAUUGAGUUGUAUUGGUGUGGUUACAUUGCUUCCCCCUUGCUUCGUUCGAAUUCGUCUGUUUCUAUCGAACAAAAUUGUUUGUUUCUAUUCGUACAAUCAAAUUUUCGUGCGUACUCCUAUCCAAAGUAACCUUAGCCUUAAUUUUAGAUGAAAAUCUGAUACCGUAAAGAAUUCUGUACUUUUUGUAUACAGUGCGUUUUCAAACACAUUAGAGCAUGACACAUGUCCGACGAGUUCGUAUGUUAUAUAAAACGAUUUUAAGAUUGCACAAAGGGCUUAGGCAGUCAAUAUGUAAAAGAUGAGUUCCGAAGGCACAAAGUGUGUACACAGCAUGAAGCAGCGCUUUUUAUGGAUGCAUGGACGGAUUACGCCAUUCAAAUGGCGAAUCAACUUAGUGUUAAAGGUAAACCGC
Toxorhynchites rutilus septentrionalis is the source of this 430-nucleotide long non-coding RNA. RefSeq lists it as uncharacterized. Lineage: Eukaryota; Metazoa; Arthropoda; Insecta; Diptera; Culicidae. The record is from RefSeq and is a predicted model, not a curated record. The transcript has 3 exons.